This 199-nucleotide non-coding RNA is filed under the name Pan troglodytes (chimpanzee). The record is from RNAcentral. Lineage: Eukaryota; Metazoa; Chordata; Mammalia; Primates; Hominidae.
CUCACUCUGACCAGCCUCCCUAUGAAGAUGUGUGCUUCUCCUUUUCCUUAUGCCAUGAUUGUACGUUUCCUGAGGCCUCUCCAGCAAUGCAGAACUGUAAUUAUCCAGUUGAUAUUUAUCUUGUUCCAGUCACCUUAAGAAAGCUGUUUGGCAAGGGCAGUGACUGGAAGCUGGGAGAGAGGGUCAACAGCUGAAUCUC